GAUGAAGAACGUAGCGAAAUGCGAUAAGUAGUGUGAAUUGCAGAAUUCAGUGAAUCAUCGAAUCUUUGAACGCACAUUGCGCCCCUUGGUAUUCCAUGGGGCAUGCCUGUUCGAGCGUCAUUUGUACCUUCAAGCUUUGCUUGGUGUUGGGUGUUUGUCCCGAGGGACUCUCCUUAAAGUAAUUGGCAGCCAGUGUUUGGUUUUGAAGCGCAGCACAAGUCGCGAUUCAAGGCUACACGCCCGCUUCCACAAGCCUUUUUUCACUUUUGACCUCGGAUCAGGUAGGGAUACCCGCUGAACUUAAGCAUAUCAAUAAGCGGAGGA
RNAcentral lists this unclassified non-coding RNA (324 nucleotides) under soil metagenome. Its description in RNAcentral is "partial contains 5.8S ribosomal RNA, internal transcribed spacer 2, and large subunit ribosomal RNA". The stretch from base 1 to 120 matches the Rfam family "5.8S ribosomal RNA", at positions 35 to 154 of the family's 154-position model. The record is from RNAcentral.